Molecule: long non-coding RNA, 368 nt
Filed under: Cyanistes caeruleus (blue tit)
Lineage: Eukaryota; Metazoa; Chordata; Aves; Passeriformes; Paridae
Description: lncRNA (ENSCCEG00000004454.1)
Source: RNAcentral
CCGAGACCCUCGGAAGGGUUUGCACUUUCUGUGGAUGUAUAAUUUCUGUUGAUUAACAGGAGUUGUGGGAAGGAGCCCUUUUGUAAAACUGAUGACAGGGAGGAGCUGCCUGGGGCAGAGGCUGUCAAAUGAUCUCCUUUGUGACUGCAACAGUGCAAAUAUUACCAAGGAACCAAAAUCCCUUCCCUCAUCCAGGGCUCCCUGGGGGCAGCAGUACUCAAACACAGAACUCUCCCUGUUGCCAGAGAUGAAUCUUACAGAGCAUGUGACAGUUUAAAAGUUGUUGCAGAUCUGAAGGAAACUUCAGCAGAACAGCUCACAAGUCUGUUGUCAUGGUGAGAGACUUAUUUCUCUUUUUCUCUUAGAGC